Molecule: unclassified non-coding RNA, 174 nt
Filed under: plant metagenome
Description: partial contains small subunit ribosomal RNA, internal transcribed spacer 1, and 5.8S ribosomal RNA
Source: RNAcentral
UUUCCGUAGGUGAACCUGCGGAAGGAUCAUUUAUGAGCGAGCCUUAAUGGCGAGCAUUAUAUCCAUAACACUGUGAACUGUUGACUCUUUUAGAGUCUUUUUUACAAAACUUUUGUGUAUGAACGUAUUAAACUAUAAUCAAUAUAACUUUCAACAACGGAUCUCUUGGCUCUC